CCUACGGGAGGCAGCAGUGAGGAAUAUUGGUCAAUGGGCGUGAGGCUGAACCAGCCAAGUCGCGUGAAGGAUGAAGGAUCUAUGGUUUGUAAACUUCUUUUAUAGGGGACUAAAGGUAUGCACGUGUUGCUAUUUGCAUGUACCCUAUGAAUAAGCAUCGGCUAACUCCGUGCCAGCAGCCGCGGUAAUACGGAGGAUGCGAGCGUUAUCCGGAUUUAUUGGGUUUAAAGGGUGCGUAGGUUGUUAUUUAAGUCAGCGGUGAAAGUUUGUGGCUCAACCAUAAAAUUGCCGUUGAAACUGGAAGACUUGAGUGUGUUUGAGGUAGGCGGAAUGCGUGGUGUAGCGGUGAAAUGCAUAGAUAUCACGCAGAACUCCGAUUGCGAAGGCAGCUUACUAAGCCAUAACUGACACUGAAGCACGAAAGCGUGGGGAUCAAACAGGAUUAGAUACCCUUGUAGUC
Molecule: ribosomal RNA, 460 nt
Filed under: uncultured bacterium
Lineage: Bacteria
Description: partial 16S ribosomal RNA
Rfam family: Bacterial small subunit ribosomal RNA
Source: RNAcentral